CCGGCGACCGGCGCACGGGUGAGUAACACGUAUGCAACCUGGCCGUGACAGAUGGAUAACCGGGAGAAAUCCCGCCUAAUACAGCAUGACGCCGCGGGAGGACAUCCUCCCGCGGCCAAAGGGCGACCCGGUCACGGAUGGGCAUGCGGCGCAUUAGGUAGUUGGUGGGGCAACGGCCCACCAAGCCGACGAUGCGUAGGGGUUCUGAGAGGAAGGUCCCCCACAUUGGAACUGAGACACGGUCCAAACUCCUACGGAAGGCAGCAG
Molecule: ribosomal RNA, 267 nt
Filed under: uncultured bacterium
Lineage: Bacteria
Description: partial 16S ribosomal RNA
Rfam family: Bacterial small subunit ribosomal RNA
Source: RNAcentral